CAGUAGCCACGGUAAUACGAAGGGUGCAAGCGUUAAUCGGAAUUACUGGGCGUAAAGCGUGCGUAGGCGGUGAGUUAAGUCUGCUGUGAAAUCCCCGGGCUCAACCUGGGAAUGGCAGUGGAUACUGGCUCGCUAGAGUGUGUCAGAGGAUGGUGGAAUUCCCGGUGUAGCGGUGAAAUGCGUAGAGAUCGGGAGGAACAUCAGUGGCGAAGGCGGCCAUCUGGGACAACACUGACGCUGAGGCGCGAAAGCCAGGGGAGCGAACGGGAUUAGAUACCCCAGUAGUCCCUGUCUCUUAUAC
RNAcentral lists this ribosomal RNA (301 nucleotides) under uncultured bacterium. Its description in RNAcentral is "partial 16S ribosomal RNA". It matches the Rfam family "Bacterial small subunit ribosomal RNA", at positions 509 to 807 of the family's 1533-position model. The record is from RNAcentral.